Molecule: ribosomal RNA, 266 nt
Filed under: uncultured bacterium
Lineage: Bacteria
Description: partial 16S ribosomal RNA
Rfam family: Bacterial small subunit ribosomal RNA
Source: RNAcentral
UACGAGGGGGGCAAGCGUUGUUCGGAAUUAUUGGGCGUGAAAGGGCGCAGUAGGCGGUGCGGUAAGCUCUGAUGUGAAAUCUCCGGGCUCAAACUCCGGGAGUUCCGUGCAUCAGAAACGUGCCGUGCUUGAGUGGUGGGAGAGGUGAGUGGAAUUCCCGGUGUAGCGGUAGAAAUGCGCAGAUAGUCGGGAGGAACACCGGUGGCGAAGGCGGUUCUCUGGGCCUUACCUGACGCUGAGGAGCGAAAGCGUGGGGAGCGAACAGG